UCUGCCUUCCCCCAGUGUUAGCUAGAAACAACCAAUCAGAGGCAGGAGGCGGGUCUUAGCGCUGUCAAUCAAGCCCAUUUGAAAGGUGCCAGCUUUUCCAAGUCAGCAGAGCCUGUAGUGAAUGCCACCGAUGACACUGGAUAAACGGUUUUCUUGUCAUGGUGAGUUGCUUCUCCACCUUUAGCACAUUUAGCAGUUUGUUCAUUUGGAUGAUUGACAGCAAUAAGAACCUCCUCUCGACUCUGCUUGGUUGUUUUUGACCAGAACUGCUGCAUUCCUUCAGAUGGCAGUAGUAGCUCAUGGAGGAGGUGGAGGAACUCCAUCUUUUCACAGAUUAUUAGUCUCAUAUCAUACUGUCACAACAUGGUGACAGUUUUAACAAAUAGCCAAAUACCCAGAGAAAAGUUACAGGUCUGGGUCAUAGCUUAAUAAUCCUUUUUAGUGAGGAAAACAUCUUCCUGGUAAAGGUUAAACAACAUGUGAGUUCAACACAGAUGCAAAGAGGAUGUUUGGACAUGCUAUGCUGUUCUGUCAUGGAAUACUUUCUUUAUUUAGUCUAUUUAUAUAUCUUUUAUUCACAUGAAAUGUUUUAUUAUCCUUUCAAGGCAAACGGAGGCCAUUCAGAUCUAAUUCUAUAGAAUCUAACAAGGUCCAAGUUAAGUUCAGAUAAUUCAUUCAAUUAAGUACGUUUCAAUGUUAAAGUCAGACACGUGUAAGAAAAGCAACUGGAGGUAAACGUUUGGCUUGCUAGGCCUUCUUGCCCGACAUCAACACAAAUGAAUUCUCAAACACACACAAACAUACAUGCAAAUUCACAACUACACAGUCUGAUUUACAAGUACUAAAUAUUUAUGACCAACCCCUCCCUCGUCGUUCAACGUGGCUGUUAUGUAAUGAGAACAUAGUAAUAAAUUCUUCAUUCGCUUCUUAAAUGAGGUGAAUCUCAAUUUAAGAAAAUCCACAUGUCUGAGAAUGUGUUGCUUCAGUGUCAAGUCUGUGAAUGCAGAGAAAUAAAUCAUUAGCUCAUGUAGCUAGUGCAGGUUAGUCCGGUCAGUGGUCACUGAGCAAAACAAAAAGUGACUGCCACUGGUUUUCUACCACAGCUCUUGAACAUUUAAAUUGGGGUUGCUGUCCCCGGAUCCAAGGUCCAACUUCCAAUUCAAAAUCAAACAAUUCUCACCAAAUAAUCAAGAUGUCACACUAAUUUAGAAGAUGCAUUAUUGUGAUGUAAAUGUGACCAAAAUGCACAUAUCAGAGAAGCCAGCUCUGUCUCGCAGAGAAGCAUGUCCUUCUCUGCGAGGAAGCAUGAAGCAGGGAAGCAUGUCCUUGAGACAAAUAACCUCGUCUCAAGGUUAUUUUCAACAGCAUUCUGCAGAUGCUCAGCUUUUUAUUAGCGUUCGUGCCAUUUAGCCCACCCCAAAAAAAGCAACAGGACAGAACGGAUUCCCUUUCUCUAUCCAGGCCAAGGUUACAAAAUUAGUUUUUUAAUCAGAUUGAGGGUCUCUGUGGAAGCCGGUCUCUCCUCUAAUGUGGAGGACCGAUUUAUCUUGUGAAGCCGAGGCGUUGAUGCUGAUGAAAAAGAUCUGAUUGAAAGAUUUUAUUUUCCUCAAGUUUUUAGCUUAUUGUGCCAUUUGUCAAUAUUAAAAUGUCCUGUGAUGUAAUCAGUGUGUGAAUAAAGAAACUGACCAAGUU
This is a long non-coding RNA of Xiphophorus hellerii (green swordtail), 1692 nucleotides long. RefSeq lists it as uncharacterized. Lineage: Eukaryota; Metazoa; Chordata; Actinopteri; Cyprinodontiformes; Poeciliidae. The record is from RefSeq and is a predicted model, not a curated record. The transcript has 2 exons.